This 503-nucleotide long non-coding RNA is filed under the name Mus pahari (shrew mouse). RNAcentral's name for it is "lncRNA (MGP_PahariEiJ_G0003345.1)". The record is from RNAcentral. Lineage: Eukaryota; Metazoa; Chordata; Mammalia; Rodentia; Muridae.
GGCUUGACGCGUAAAAGUGCCGGCAUUUCGGGACGCUUGGAGCUUGGACUUGAUUGUGGGGUGUUCUAGCAGAUUCCCGGCGGGCGGAAGGGCAGCCGGGAACCUAAGAUUUAACUUACCGUGGCCCUGGAAGGUUCAUGAUUACUGAGCGUCCUUCCCUACUGGAUGGGUUGUUUCACCUCCCUGUGAACAUCCUGAGUCUGAAUGAGCUGCCUCCUUUGAUGGAAGGUUUUAAUCUUGGAGGAAACUGUUAAAGAGCAGAUUUUGAUAUGGUUCAGCCAGGAAAGGCACUUGCCACCAAGCCUGAUGGCCUGAAUUUGAUCCUCAUGACCCACAUGAGAACUGACUUUUGUGAGUUGUCCUCAGACUGCCCUAUGUGUACCAUAGCAUGUGCAUGCCUACUCACCACCCACCCCCAAAAUGUAAUUUUUAAAGUAUUUUUGUCCCUACUGUUGAAGAUUAUAAGUGUAAUUGUAUAGAAAUAAACUACUUUCUUUGCUAAU